GGGCUCGUAGCUCAGUCAGGCAGAGCACCGGGCUUUUAACCCGAUGGUCGAGGGUUCAAAUACCUCCGAGCCCG
This 74-nucleotide transfer RNA is filed under the name Candidatus Methanoperedens sp. RNAcentral describes it as "tRNA-Lys". It matches the Rfam family "tRNA". From Rfam's summary of the family: Transfer RNA (tRNA) molecules are approximately 80 nucleotides in length. Their secondary structure includes four short double-helical elements and three loops (D, anti-codon, and T loops). Lineage: Archaea; Methanobacteriati; Methanobacteriota; Methanomicrobia; Methanosarcinales; Candidatus Methanoperedentaceae. The record is from RNAcentral.